GAUGAACGCUGGCGGCGUGCCUAAUACAUGCAAGUCGAGCGAACAGACGAGGAGCUUGCUCCUCUGACGUUAGCGGCGGACGGGUGAGUAACACGUGGAUAACCUACCUAUAAGACUGGGAUAACUUCGGGAAACCGGAGCUAAUACCGGAUAAUAUAUUGAACCGCAUGGUUCAAUAGUGAAAGACGGUUUUGCUGUCACUUAUAGAUGGAUCCGCGCCGCAUUAGCUAGUUGGUAAGGUAACGGCUUACCGAGGCAACGAUGCGUAGCCGACCUGAGAGGGUGAUCGGCCACACUGGAACUGAGACACGGUCCAGACUCCUACGGGAGGCAGCAGUAGGGAAUCUUCCGCAAUGGGCGAAAGCCUGACGGAGCAACGCCGCGUGAGUGAUGAAGGUCUUCGGAUCGUAAAGCUCUGUUAUUAGGGAAGAACAAAUGUGUAAGUAACUAUGCACGUCUUGACGGUACCUAAUCAGAAAGCCACGGCUAACUACGUG
Molecule: ribosomal RNA, 497 nt
Filed under: uncultured bacterium
Lineage: Bacteria
Description: partial 16S ribosomal RNA
Rfam family: Bacterial small subunit ribosomal RNA
Source: RNAcentral